This 346-nucleotide ribosomal RNA is filed under the name uncultured bacterium. Its description in RNAcentral is "partial 16S ribosomal RNA". It matches the Rfam family "Bacterial small subunit ribosomal RNA", at positions 338 to 681 of the family's 1533-position model. The record is from RNAcentral.
CCUACGGGAGGCUGCAGUGAGGAAUAUUGGUCAAUGGCCGGAAGGCUGAACCAGCCAUGCCGCGUGAAGGAUGACUGCCCUACGGGUUGUAAACUUCUUUUAUAAAGGAAUAAAGUGAGGCACGUGUGCCUUUUUGUAUGUACUUUAUGAAUAAGGAUCGGCUAACUCCGUGCCAGCAGCCGCGGUAAUACGGAGGUACCGAGCGUUAUCCGGAUUUAUUGGGUUUAAAGGGAGCGUAGAUGGGUUGUUAAGUCAGUUGUGAAAGUUUGCGGCUCAACCGUAAAAUUGCACUUGAUACUGGCAGUCUUGAGUACCGUUGCGGUAGGCGGAAUUCGUGUUGUAGCGG